GAUGAACGCUAGCUACGGGCUUAACACAUGCAAGUCGCGGGGCAGCAUGGGGGUUGCUUGCAAUCCCCGAUGGCGACCGGCGCACGGGUGAGUAACGCGUAUCCAACCUGCCCUUCACCACGGGAUAACCCGGCGAAAGUCGGACUAAUACCGUAUGUUGUCCAUUGACGGCAUCCGAUUUGGACGAAAGGUUUGGCGGUGAAGGAUGGGGAUGCGUCCGAUUAGCUGGACGGCGGGGUGACGGCCCACCGUGGCGACGAUCGGUAGGGGUUCUGAGAGGAAGGUCCCCCACACUGGAACUGAGACACGGUCCAGACUCCUACGGGAGGCAGCAGUGAGGAAUAUUGGUCAAUGGGCGUAAGCCUGAACCAGCCAAGUAGCGUGCAGGAUGACGGCCCUAUGGGUUGUAAACUGCUUUUAUGCGGGGAUAAAGUGGCCCACGUGUGGGUUUUUGCAGGUACCGCAUGAAUAAGGACCGGCUAAUUCCGUG
This 490-nucleotide ribosomal RNA is filed under the name uncultured bacterium. RNAcentral's name for it is "partial 16S ribosomal RNA". It matches the Rfam family "Bacterial small subunit ribosomal RNA", at positions 28 to 507 of the family's 1533-position model. The record is from RNAcentral.